This 520-nucleotide ribosomal RNA is filed under the name uncultured Glomus. RNAcentral describes it as "SSU rRNA". It matches the Rfam family "Eukaryotic small subunit ribosomal RNA", at positions 569 to 1091 of the family's 1831-position model. The record is from RNAcentral. Lineage: Eukaryota; Fungi; Glomeromycota; Glomeromycetes; Glomerales; Glomeraceae.
AGCAGCCGCGGUAAUUCCAGCUCCAAUAGCGUAUAUUAAAGUUGUUGCAGUUAAAAAGCUCGUAGUUGAAUUUCGGGAUCAAUUUGUUGGUCGUGCCUCGGUACGUACUGGCAUUAUUGGUUUCUACCUUCUGAAGAACCUUGAUGUCAUUAAUUUGGUGUCUUGGGGAAUCAGGACUGUUACUUUGAAAAAAUUAGAGUGUUUAAAGCAGGCAUACGCUUGAAUACAUUAGCAUGGAAUAAUGAAAUAGGACGUUUGAUUCUAUUUUGUUGGUUUCUAGGAUCGACGUAAUGAUUAAUAGGGAUAGUUGGGGGCAUUAGUAUUCAAUUGUCAGAGGUGAAAUUCUUGGAUUUAUUGAAGACUAACUACUGCGAAAGCAUUUGCCAAGGAUGUUUUUCAUUAAUCAAGAACGAAAGUUAGGGGAUCGAAGACGAUCAGAUACCGUCGUAGUCUUAACCAUAAACUAUGCCGACUAGGGAUCGGGAUGAUGUUAUUUUUAAUGACUCAUUCGGCGCCUUAC